CGAGUCGGCAGGGCGGCCGCGGCGAUUCGAAAGAAAAGCCGAGGAAAGUCCGGACUCCACAGGGCAGGGUGGUUGCUAACGGCAACCCGAGGCGACUCGCGGGACAGUGCCACAGAAAGCAAACCGCCUUGGCCAACGGCCGAGGUAAGGGUGAAACGGUGGUGUAAGAGACCACCAGCACCCCGGGUGACCGGGGUGGCUAGGUAAACCCCACCCGGAGCAAGGCCAAGAGGGCGUUCAGAAAUGGACGCCUGCGCAGGCGAUCGAGGGCGGCCCGCCCGAGCCUGCGGGUAGGCCGCACGAGCCUGCCGGCGACGGCAGGCCCAGAUGGAUGGCCGCCACCCGGGAAUCCCGGGUACAGAAUCCGGCUUACAUGCCGACUCGUCCG
Molecule: RNase P RNA, 388 nt
Filed under: Kibdelosporangium aridum
Lineage: Bacteria; Bacillati; Actinomycetota; Actinomycetes; Pseudonocardiales; Pseudonocardiaceae
Also listed under: 1 other name
Description: Bacterial RNase P class A
Rfam family: Bacterial RNase P class A
About the family: Ribonuclease P (RNase P) is a ubiquitous endoribonuclease, found in archaea, bacteria and eukarya as well as chloroplasts and mitochondria. Its best characterised activity is the generation of mature 5'-ends of tRNAs by cleaving the 5'-leader elements of precursor-tRNAs.
Source: Rfam by way of RNAcentral